Aplysia californica (California sea hare) is the source of this 436-nucleotide long non-coding RNA. RefSeq lists it as uncharacterized. Lineage: Eukaryota; Metazoa; Mollusca; Gastropoda; Aplysiida; Aplysiidae. The transcript has 2 exons. The record is from RefSeq and is a predicted model, not a curated record.
UAACGUGUCCCAUGUUGUCAUCGUCGUCACCGACGGCCGUUCUGAGAACUCGACGGAAACUAAGGCUCAGGCCAACGUUCUCAAAGACUCAGGGGUCUUAAUGUUUGCUAUAGGAGUGGGCCCUUAUGUAGACGAUCAGGAGUUGGAGGCCAUCGCCUCUGAACCAUCCGAAAAUUUCAUAUUCACGAUAGCCGAUUAUGACACACUCACGUCCAUCAAAAACACCCUCGCUCUCCGCGUUUGUGACGUAGGCAUCCCAGGUAACCAGACGGAGAUAGACGCUGAGUAGAGGGAACAGAUUGGUGUGAAGCUGAUUACCACGACAAGUUAAAGAGGUUUAUUUCCCCGAGACACGGACAGCACUAAUGGUUAAUAUGAUAAUAUCAGCCAGAAAGAAUCGACCUGUCUAUAAAUAAUACGAAAAACUUCACUCGGC